RNAcentral lists this ribosomal RNA (385 nucleotides) under uncultured bacterium. RNAcentral's name for it is "bacterial SSU rRNA". It matches the Rfam family "Bacterial small subunit ribosomal RNA", at positions 28 to 417 of the family's 1533-position model. The record is from RNAcentral.
GACGAACGCUGGCGGCGUGCUUAACACAUGCAAGUCGAACGAUGAACCACUUCGGUGGGGAUUAGUGGCGAACGGGUGAGUAACACGUGGGCAAUCUGCCCUUCACUCUGGGACAAGCCCUGGAAACGGGGUCUAAUACCGGAUAACACUGCCACGGGCAUCUGUGGUGGUUAAAAGCUCCGGCGGUGAAGGAUGAGCCCGCGGCCUAUCAGCUUGUUGGUGAGGUAAUGGCUCACCAAGGCGACGACGGGUAGCCGGCCUGAGAGGGCGACCGGCCACACUGGGACUGAGACACGGCCCAGACUCCUACGGGAGGCAGCAGUGGGGAAUAUUGCACAAUGGGCGAAAGCCUGAUGCAGCGACGCCGCGUGAGGGAUGACGGCCU